GGAUCCAGGAUACUGGAUGCUGGUCAGUUCAGGGAGAGUCAAGGAGCUGAUCCUGCCAUUUUCUUCUCUGAGGCAGCAAGCAAGUAAGCAAGUGGGGGGAGGGGGGGACACUGGGGCAUCCGCAGAUGGCUCCAGUAUGGCUGCCUGGCUUCCUGCUGCAUUGGGGGAUCUGGCAAAAGAGGCGGGAAUCUCAGAAUGAAGAUCUCCACAUUUUCUAUAGCAAUCAUUAAGAAUUAUUUUGUAUGGUUUUGCAUGUUUGAGCUGGAGCAGAACUUCCUUGCCUUCUCGCUGCUGUCUUUUCCUUGCACAUGCAGGCCAGCUGGAGAGAACAGAAUGCCACUGGGCAUAUGAAGAGGAUCUUUUGCACCACUUUCCUUAGCCAGCACACACACAAACCGGGACUCGAAGCAAAGCUUCCCAUUCAAAAGGGUGAGGAUUGGGCAAAAUUGCAUAGAAGGAUGUGUAUAUUGGGAUUAAUUCGUGUUAAAAUGCUGAAUAAUUUUCACGAGGACUUUUUAGGAAAUGAAUUUAAGAAUGGGGAAAUGAAAAAUGGAGAGAAAUCAAUACUGACAUAUUCACCAAUCCCUACUUUGGACAGAUUUGACUCUGGUUCUGCUUCUCCCUGCCUUGCAGCUUUGGGCAGCCCAGGAGCAUCUUUCACAGUGAGGUGUUGGCAGCCCUAAGGGCGGAGGGAGGCGGGGGACAUUUUGGUGCUCCGUGGAAGGCGGGAUGUGCUGUACAUACAGGUCAUAGGCAACCUGAUCAAUAAAGGAUGUUACCUGGAUGUGCUUUAGGUCCAGUUCUUUCUCUGAGAUGCAAUGGGAAAGAUCUCAGCAAGGAAAUUGUGGGUGGGACAGAGCAGCUUUUUGACUGAAGUCUCAGUCUCUGCCGGGUUUUUGCUGCCAGCAUUUUCAUAUUGGGGCUGGCCUGAAGCCAUGAAAAAAGUGCAUCCCCUCCACUCCCCACCACCUGCAGAAGCCGGUUGACCAGGGUGUUAAUUCUUUCUUCAACACUUUUCUCUGCCCCCCUGUUUCAGGCCUAUUACCAGAAAAGCAAAAAGCAAGACCAGCUGGUUAGUUGGUUGGUUCAAUUCCCACAGCUGUUUUAAAAGCUGUACACCUUUAAGGGUGUACACCCAGAAUGUGCACCAAAACAAAGACUCUGUGCUCUGUUUCCCCUACUCUCCCAUCCGUCCCCCACCCUGCUGAUGUCAAGAUGGAGGAUGUUUCUGCCAGGUUUUGAGGGGCCAAGGAGGGGAGGAAGAGAUUUCAGAAGGCAGUGCACGUUCAGAACCAUAAUCUUGCAUCUGGUCAAAUGAAACUGCCAGGUGUGCUUUUCUCUGCAUAAUAACCAGAGACUUCAGGGCUUCUGGGGAAUUUGGUAUGAAAUGAAGCUGGGGCGCUGGUGAUGGAGACAACAUUCCCUCUGCCUUCUGUGGCAAUUAGGGCAGUUAUGUAACUUCCUUUAUAGUGGCCAGUGCUCUGAGGCUCCUCUUUCUGAAAGCAUCCUCUCUUUCAAAGGUUGUCCAGUAUAACAACAACAACAACAACAACAACAACAACAACAACAACAACACUUACACCCUGCCCAUCUGGCUGGGUUUCCCCAGCCACUCUGGACGGCUUCCAAUAGGAGAUAAAAAUACAGUCCAAGUCUAGCUUAAACAUCAAGGACUCUGACCAGGGAGCGGAGGAAGGUGACUUGAAGUUGCCCAGGUACAGGGAGCAGCUAGACAGCAAAUGGAGCUGCCUGGCCACAGCCUUUUCCACAAGGGCAACAAGUAGUCCAUUGUGAUUUAAAUGGUAGCAAUUAUUUCUAAAUGUGCAUUUCAGUAAGAAUAUGUGAUUUUUAAUGCAAAUCACUGUCCCUUUUCAUCCUUUGUUCCGCAGUGCAUUUUCAUUUUUGAUUGGCAAUGAAAAAAUGCCCCCCCCCCUCUGGGCAGCCCAAAUGGCCUUUUUAAUGGUCUGGCCAUCAGCAAUGACAGGACUGCUCUUCUGGAAAGAUUUCCAGUCAAAACCAUCUGCCUGCGUAGUCUCCGCUCACAACAGCGGGGGAUGCAGGAGAAAUUAAUGUCCGUUUGUAAAAAUUAAUGUUUUUAAAUGGGUGUAGCUCCAAUAAUUUUUCAAAGAUCAGUGGGCAAUAAAUAAAUUUCUAGCAAAUGGACCCUUCAACCUUUCAACUAGCCUGAUAUUCCCUCCCCUCCCUUCCCUUUGGUCUACUAUGCGGUAGGGUUGUGCAUCAGCCACAAAAUUCAACAUGUUUCUGCAGUUUAGGGAAGCAGUCCAGUCUAUUUCAGAGCUGCUCUGUGUCUUUCCAAUUUGACUUAUUUUUUGGGACUGAAUUUGAUCUGUUAAAUACAAUCUUCCGUUUUCUUGCCGUUCACUAUAAAGGAAUGGGCAAUCUAAAAAUAGUUGUUGUUGGGUUUUUUUCUUGUCACAGAAUUGGAUGGAAUUUGGAGGCAUAGCAGCCCCUCCAGAGUAAAUUAAGCCAAAUCAUAAGUAGAUGCAUUAAGGGGUUUUCAUGCACAGCAUGAAAUUAGAUAUUUUUAAAAACAAAAGAAAAGCCUAUAGCAUCUUUUUUUCAUUUUCUGCCACAAUUGACUGAAAUUUGCAUGCAUGGCCACACCUUCCUAGGGGGAUGAAUUUGUGCACAAUUUGAAACACUUUAUUGUUCUCAGCUGAAUAUGUGGACUGACUCCAUGGAGAAGAAAUUAACAUAAAAUUAACACACAAGUUGUUCCUGCAGCAAAAAGAGUGCUUAAACAUGCAUGUGUGAACGUCCCCAGUGAGGCUCAACUCUGAUGCUGGGCAUUGGGAACCAUACACAAGGUAUAGCACAGGGCUGGACUGAACUUUUUCCAGCCAGGAGGGAGAGAGCUCCUGGACUGAAAUCCUGGAAGACCACAGCCCCUCCAUGUGGACAAUGCAGGGCUGGGUUGUCUGAUGGCCUGACUCAGGAGAAGGCAGCUCCCUAGGUUUCAGAGCCCCUUGGAUCCCCCCAGCCCGAGAAGAGGCCAUUUCCUUGCCACUGGUUCUGUGCUCCUGUGGUUUUCCUUACACCUUGCCAGAGCCACCCAAAGAGUCAGUUCAAAAGUUACUCAUUAGGCCGCUUACUAGAAUGUAUGAGCACACAAUCAAUCUCAAUUUAUCUUGGGUCGAGGAGGAAAAGCCCAUUGAGCUGUCAGGGCUGCAGGAUUGAUGCGCUGGCAAUAGCAGUGGUGUGUUUGCUCCCACUUCUGCCCUGCCUGCGGAGCCGUGUGUCAGCAGUGUGUGCACAACAGAUCACGCGCUUGUGCCCAGAUAGCCCUGUGCUAAUCCCGGCGGCAGGGGUGUAACUAAGGUGGGGCAACAGAGGCAUCUGCUGGGGGCACAGCAGCCUGGACACCAGAGACCAGGCAGGACAUUUUGACAUUGCCCAGCAUCACCUUUUAAGUUCUCAUGUUCAUUUUCUCAGAGGGUUAGGGAGGGCGGAGGUCAGGCUGUAAAGCACAUUCAGUGACUAAAUACUGCAGGCAGAUACUGAGGGAGAUGAUCCGAGGCAUGCUGCUUUCAUCAUCAUCAUCAUUUUAUUUGUAUGCCGCCUUUCCACAGUUAAAACAAUGCUCAAGGCGGCUUACAAUAUGAAAAGAUUUACAUAGUUACAAACAUAGCAAAGUAGUCAUAAAAAUAAACAAAACACAUCAAAAACUACAUAACCAAACUGAACAAUUACUGC
Molecule: long non-coding RNA, 3714 nt
Filed under: Podarcis lilfordi (Lilford's wall lizard)
Lineage: Eukaryota; Metazoa; Chordata; Lepidosauria; Squamata; Lacertidae
Source: RNAcentral